UUUCCGUAGGUGAACCUGCGGAAGGAUCAUUAACGCAUCUCUGACGGCAUAGGCGCUCCCUGAUCCGUAUCGAAAUGCCGUCCAGCGGGCGCUCCCGAGCCCCUCCACCAUCGCAAACCCACCGUGCACUCUCGUCGGCGAGGAGACUACCGCCCGGAGCAGGCUCGCAGAUACCUCUUUUAAAAACGAAUGAUUAGCGUACCUGCGUGCCGCCUAAACUAACACAACUUACAACAACAGAUCUCUUCUCUCUCUCAUCGAUGAAGAACGCAUCAGCUC
Molecule: unclassified non-coding RNA, 279 nt
Filed under: plant metagenome
Description: partial contains small subunit ribosomal RNA, internal transcribed spacer 1, and 5.8S ribosomal RNA
Source: RNAcentral